GAGUUUGAUCGUGGCUCAGAUUGAACGCUGGCGGCAUGCCUUACACAUGCAAGUCGAACGGUAACAGGUUAAGCUGACGAGUGGCGAACGGGUGAGUAAUGUAUCGGAACGUGCCCAGUCGUGGGGGAUAACUGCUCGAAAGAGCAGCUAAUACCGCAUACGACCUGAGGGUGAAAGCGGGGGAUCGCAAGACCUCGCGCGAUUGGAGCGGCCGAUAUCAGAUUAGGUAGUUGGUGGGGUAAAGGCCUACCAAGCCGACGAUCUGUAGCUGGUCUGAGAGGACGACCAGCCACACUGGGACUGAGACACGGCCCAGACUCCUACGGGAGGCAGCAGUGGGGAAUUUUGGACAAUGGACGCAAGUCUGAUCCAGCCAUGCCGCGUGCGGGAAGAAGGCC
RNAcentral lists this ribosomal RNA (398 nucleotides) under uncultured beta proteobacterium. RNAcentral describes it as "bacterial SSU rRNA". It matches the Rfam family "Bacterial small subunit ribosomal RNA", at positions 9 to 416 of the family's 1533-position model. The record is from RNAcentral. Lineage: Bacteria; Pseudomonadati; Pseudomonadota; Betaproteobacteria.